RNAcentral lists this long non-coding RNA (584 nucleotides) under Rattus norvegicus (Norway rat). RNAcentral's name for it is "long non-coding RNA NONRATT012495". Lineage: Eukaryota; Metazoa; Chordata; Mammalia; Rodentia; Muridae. The record is from RNAcentral.
UAAGUUCUGAUUGCAGAUGGCUAGUUGUUAUUCUGUGGGGUUUGUUUACUUGUUUUUGAUUUUAGACUUAUUUUAUAUUUAUGAUUCUGUUUGGCACACAUACAUGUAGCUAUGUGUGCCAUAAGUGUGCCUGGUACCCACACAGAUAAGAUGAGAGCAUCAGAUCCCAUGGAGCUGGAGUUAGGAAUGCUUGUGAACCACCAUGUAGGUGCCGGACACUGACCUGGAUCCUCCUCCACAAGGACCGUCUUGGCUGCUGAGACAGCUCCGGUCCCUGUUCUGUGGUUUCUACUAUGUAGACAUUGUGUCAAUACUUUCUCACUUGCUUUACUUCUCUAGGGAACAGAUUUUAAGAGUAAAAGAAGAUGAGAAUGUCCCAUUUCUCCUGGUUGGUAACAAAUCAGAUUUAGAAGAUAAAAGGCAGGUUUCUGUAGAAGAGGCAAAAAACAGAGCUGACCAGUGGAACGUUAACUAUGUGGAGACGUCUGCUAAAACGCGCGCCAACGUUGACAAGGUAUUUUUUGAUUUAAUGAGGGAAAUACGAGCCAGAAAGAUGGAAGACAGCAAAGAAAAAAAUGGAAAAA